Molecule: long non-coding RNA, 1362 nt
Organism: Cornus florida
Lineage: Eukaryota; Viridiplantae; Streptophyta; Magnoliopsida; Cornales; Cornaceae
Exons: 2
Source: RefSeq, a predicted model, not a curated record
UUGAAGUAGUUGCAUAAAAUAUUAUUGAGUUUUUGACAGUACUAAUACUACACUCUUGUAUCUGCCAACCGUUUUCACGACGACGACGACGACCACCACCACCACCACCACCACCACCACCACCACCACCACCACCACCACCAUCUUCCACUUUGUGUUGAAUACUUUCAGGUUAUGGUGGACCCUGAUGAUCCCACGAUCCCAGCCCAAGUGAACCAAAACCUAAGGGAGUUGCGUUGGCUCAUGAGGACAAAUAUUAAUGAAUUUUAUCCUGCAGACACCAUAAAUAUAUGGAAGCUGAUGCAUGGUUCUCUGGAUUGGAUAUUGUGUUUGGUUUAUAAUUGAUUGGAUGUGACCAGAAAUUUUGAAUGGGAGAAUUAGAAUUACGUACUUAAAAUUUGGAAAAAAUUAUAAAUCAACUGUUAUAUAUGUAAUAUUUUUUACAAUAAUAGUCUUGUUAUAUUUAUUGAGGGAAAAAUAAUUCAAAAACCGAGAAAAAUGUGAUUCCAAUUUUAAAAAGAUAUAUUACCUUGAUGAAAGAUUAAUAUAGCAAAAAGUAUCAUUUCAGCUAAACAAAAUCUUGCAAGUUUUAUACAUGAAGAAAGAAAAUUGGAUAGAAGGGACAGAAAAUUUGUUGAGUAAGACAACCCUAGAGAAAUGUUAGUUUACUAAUUCCCUCUUUUUUGUUUUGUCGGAUGGAAGAGAAAGAAAUAAGGUAACACCUUACUUAAUUUGUUAGAAAAGAAGGGAAGAGAGAUUACUAAUACUGAGUUUAUCUAAUAAUUAAGAAGAAUAUUUAAUUCAAAUUUACCAUUCAAAAAAAAUUUAUUUAAUUCAAAUUUUCUAUAGUACGUACAGUCUAUUUUUAUUCCUUUCUCUCUUCCAUCCACAUUUGGAGGGAUGGAAAUUAAUUUGUGAAGCAGGAAGAAUAACUCAUCCAUCCUCUUUUUCUAUUCCCUCCUUAUCUCUUCUCUACUAAACGAAGGAAGUUUAUUUCUUUCAUCCAAUCUUCCCUUCACCCUUCUUCAUUCCCUACUGCCAAACGGAUCAUUAAUAAAACAUUACUAUUAGGAACAAAUUAGAGAACUACUUUAAUAACUUAUAGAAGGCAUAGUUAUAGAAUUUCUCAUUUAACAAGUGACAGCUAAAAAUGUUAGCAUAUAUGAUAUUAUUGUUGUUAUAUAUUGUCAUUUUUGUCAUCUCUGCAUCAUAACAUACACUUUAGUUUUUCCCUUCUUUCUAAAGCUCCAAAGACUUGCAGAUGAAGAUUAAUAGUAUAUAAUUUAAUUUAAUUUAUUAUUAUUAUUUGUGUGUGUGUGUGUGUGUGUGUAAACGCCAUUAAUAAAAAUGCCUGAGAAAGAA